This 317-nucleotide ribosomal RNA is filed under the name Streptomyces sp. JRG-1. RNAcentral describes it as "bacterial SSU rRNA". It matches the Rfam family "Bacterial small subunit ribosomal RNA", at positions 897 to 1208 of the family's 1533-position model. Lineage: Bacteria; Bacillati; Actinomycetota; Actinomycetes; Kitasatosporales; Streptomycetaceae. The record is from RNAcentral.
AAACUCAAAGGAAUUGACGGGGGCCCGCACAAGCGGCCGAGCAUGUGGCUUAAUUCGACGCAACGCGAAGAACCUUACCAAGGCUUGACAUAUUCCGGAAAGCAUUAGAGAUAGUGCCCCCCUUGUGGUCGGUAUACAGGUGGUGCAUGGCUGUCGUCAGCUCGUGUCGUGAGAUGUUGGGUUAAGUCCCGCAACGAGCGCAACCCUUGUCCUGUGUUGCCAGCAUGUCCUUCGGGGUGAUGGGGACUCACAGGAGACCGCCGGGGUCAACUCGGAGGAAGGUGGGGACGACGUCAAGUCAUCAUGCCCCUUAUGUC